Molecule: long non-coding RNA, 1776 nt
Organism: Heterocephalus glaber (naked mole-rat)
Lineage: Eukaryota; Metazoa; Chordata; Mammalia; Rodentia; Bathyergidae
Source: Ensembl
GGACGCUGUUCCCCUGGCGUCGAACCUGCCAGUUUGAAUCGCGGCGAAGCCGGCGUCCGGCGCCGCAGUUCAGAGGCAGGAGGGUCCGGGUGGGGUCGGGGGCUCUCGGCCGCAGGGCGCACGCGUUCAGCCCUCACCGAAAGCUGCGCGGGCGGGCGCGUAGGUGCGCUAUGCCCACGUUACACUUUAGGGAAAUGGAGACGGACUGAGAAUUGACCGGGCGCGUGGAGCAGGCAGCGACUGGACCUGGCCCGACCCACUCUGCCGCCUUCAGCUGCGUCGCCCCAAAGCCUCUAAGCCCCCCAGGUCCCCCGCAGCGCCACCGCGCGCGGCUCAGACCCGUGGUGGGAAAGCCGCACGGUUGACCCCGGGGUCAGGUCCUCCGGGAGGGAAGCGCGGGAAGAAGCGGUGACGCCGCUGUGGACGUCACCUCGGGAGGAGGGGACCAAACAACAAGAAACAUCAGGACUGGAGACAGUCUAAUUACCUUGGUGGGAACUUUCAUCAGCCAUCACACAUUGAAUCUAGAAGUGCUGGAACAAUAACUCAAGGGGACUGAUUGACAGUGACUGCUGCCAAAUUAGCAUUUCUAUGGAAGCCAGCGUCAGUUAUCAUCAACAGACAUUAUCCUCCUCUGAGAUUUUCUGAACUGCUUUUCAAUAGAGGCCAAAUCACUUGUAUGCAAUAAAACAAAAGAAACUUUGUCUGAAUACUGUAUUAGGACAGACACAAGUAUCUUAUAUUCUUUCACACUACAUGGUGUUCUUUAAACUGUAAGAGGAAAAGCACAACAGAUUCUUGCUGGGUUAGACAGAACCUCUUGUAGUGGGAUGAUUUAAAUUUAGUGUAUUUAAAAAUAUCAUAUACACCAAAUUGAGAAAAUGUAAGUUUUAAAGCUGAUUGAUUAAUGCAUUGUCAAUACAUCUGUCGUGAGCACACCAAAUAUUGUCAGGAUAAGGCCUGCGCACUUGUAAAGUGGCAAGAAAUUAUACUUUAUGAUAAGGGAUGUAAUUAGACUGUAUUUUAAUUUUUUUGUAAUUCACAACAAUAUAUGUUGUGUCUGAAAGAUAAAGGGAAUUUUAAGCACCAGUUAGUGAAAAUAUUUUUAUUUAAAUAAGAAACUGAAACUGAAGUCUUCCUAAAUAACAACUAUUAUCGCAUAAAAUAUUUUAAAAAUAGGACUUGAAUUUGGGUAUCUGUCUUAGUUACUUUUCUUGUUGCCAAGACAAAAUAUCUCACACCCAAAGUUAAAUGGGAAAGAGCUUAAUUACCUCACAGUUUGUGGAGGUUUCUGUCCAGAGCUGGCUGGCUCCAAGGCCGGGUAGCAUGGCAGAGGGGCACUGCAGAGGAGAAACAGUCCAUGGCAAAGAACGACAGGCAGAAGGCAGCAAGCAACAAGUGCAGACAACUUUAGCAGCUUCUUUCUGUCCCUUUUAUGUUUGAUCUAGGUUACCUGGCUUAGACAAGUGCCAAACCAGUCAGUAGACUGAUUUAGAUUUCACACAUCCCUAAUCCCACCACACACUCCAGAUUCCGUCACUUUUGAAACAGUCUUCACCUAUAACUGCAUGAAGCUUUGGGGGAACAUCUAGUCACAAGCCAUAACAUUCACCCCUAGCCCUUCAAAAAUUCAUACACAUCCCUUUAUGCAGAAAACAUUUAGUCCAUUUCCAAGAGUUGCCAAAGUCCUAACAGUUUCAACGUUGCUGAAAAGUCCAAGUACAAAAUUCUCCUCUGAGAUUUGAGGCAGACUCAUGAGGACACCUCUGUACAAAU